CAAUAGCGUAUAUUUAAGUUGUUGCAGUUAAAACGCUCGUAGUCGGAUUUCGGGGCGGGCGGGCCGGUCUGCCGAUGGGUAUGCACUGGUCUGGCCGUCCUUCCUUCCGGAGACCGUGCGUGCUCUUAACUGAGUGCGCUCGGGAGACGGAUCGUUUACUUUGAAAAAAUCAGAGUGUUUCAAGCAGGCAGCUCGCUCUUGCAUGGAUUAGCAUGGGAUAAUGAAAUAGGACUUUGGUGCUAUUUUGUUGGUUUCGAACACCGAAGUAAUGAUUAACAGGGACAGUCAGGGGCACUCGUAUUCCGCCGAGAGAGGUGAAAUUCUCAGACCAGCGGAAGACGAACCACUGCGAAAGCAUUUGCCAGGGAUGUUUUCACUGA
This 380-nucleotide ribosomal RNA is filed under the name uncultured eukaryote. RNAcentral's name for it is "partial 18S ribosomal RNA". It matches the Rfam family "Eukaryotic small subunit ribosomal RNA", at positions 592 to 976 of the family's 1831-position model. The record is from RNAcentral.